Molecule: ribosomal RNA, 587 nt
Filed under: uncultured bacterium
Lineage: Bacteria
Description: bacterial SSU rRNA
Rfam family: Bacterial small subunit ribosomal RNA
Source: RNAcentral
CCUACGGGAGGCAGCAGUGGGGAAUAUUGGACAAUGGGCGAAAGCCUGAUCCAGCAAUGCCGCGUGUGUGAAGAAGGCCUGCGGGUUGUAAAGCACUUUUGUUCGGGAAGAAAACGGAUCGGUUAAUACCCGGUUCGGAUGACGGUACCGAAAGAAUAAGCACCGGCUAACUUCGUGCCAGCAGCCGCGGUAAUACGAAGGGUGCAAGCGUUAAUCGGAAUUACUGGGCGUAAAGCGUGCGUAGGCGGCUUCUUAAGUCGGAUGUGAAAUCCCCGGGCUUAACCUGGGAAUGGCAUCCGAUACUGGGGAGCUGGAGUUUGGGAGAGGGUGGUGGAAUUCCCGGUGUAGCGGUGAAAUGCGUAGAGAUCGGGAGGAACAUCAGUGGCGAAGGCGGCCACCUGGCCUAAAACUGACGCUGAGGCACGAAAGCGUGGGGAGCAAACAGGAUUAGAUACCCUGGUAGUCCACGCCCUAAACGAUGAGAACUGGACGUUGGGAGGAAUUCGCCUCUUAGUGUCGAAGCUAACGCGUGAAGUUCUCCGCCUGGGGAGUACGCUCGCAAGAGUGAAACUCAAAGGAAUUGACGG